CACGUAGGCGGCAACGUAAGUCAGAUGUGAAAGCCCCGGGCUCAACCCGGGAACGGCAUUUGAGACUGCGUCGCUCGAGUCUGAGAGAGGGGGGUGGAAUUCCGGGUGUAGCGGUGAAAUGCGUAGAGAUCCGGAGGAACACCAGUGGCGAAGGCGGCCCCCUGGCUCAAGACUGACGCUGAGGUGCGAAAGCGUGGGUAGCAAACA
RNAcentral lists this ribosomal RNA (207 nucleotides) under uncultured bacterium. Its description in RNAcentral is "partial 16S ribosomal RNA". It matches the Rfam family "Bacterial small subunit ribosomal RNA", at positions 568 to 774 of the family's 1533-position model. The record is from RNAcentral.